AAUUCGCCCUUAGAGUUUGAUCCUGGCUCAGGAUGAACGCUAGCGGCAGGCCUAAUACAUGCAAGCUGAACGGUAAAUAUUGUAGCAAUACGAUAUGAGAGUAGCGUAAGGGUGCGUAACACGUAUGCAAUCUGCCCUGUACAGGAGAAUAGCUCGGCGAAAGCCGGAUUAAUACUCCGUAAUAUUAUUGGAAGGCAUCUUUUGAUAAUUAAAGUCGCAAGACGGUAUGGGAUGAGCAUGCGUCUGAUUAGCUAGUUGGUAGUGUAACGGACUACCAAGGCGAUGAUCAGUAGGGGAACUGAGAGGUUGAUCCCCCACACUGGCACUGAGAUACGGGCCAGACUCCUACGGGAGGCAGCAGUAGGGAGUAUUGGUCAAUGGGUGAAAGCCUGAACCAGCCAUGCCGCGUGCAGGAAGAAGGCCUUCUGGGUUGUAAACUGCUUUUGCCGGGGGAUAAAAUUCCCAUGCGUGGGAAAUUGAAGGUACCCGGUGAAUAAGCCACGGCUAACUACGUGCCAGCAGCCGCGGUAAUACGUAGGUGGCAAGCGUUGUCCGGAUUUAUUGGGUUUAAAGGGUGCGUAGGCGGCCUAUUAAGUCAGUUCUGAAAUAUCCCGGCUUAACCGGGAGGGUGGGAUUGAUACUGAUGGGCUUGAGUGGACCCGAGGUAGGCGGAAUUGACGGUGUAGCGGCG
This 691-nucleotide ribosomal RNA is filed under the name uncultured Bacteroidota bacterium. RNAcentral's name for it is "bacterial SSU rRNA". It matches the Rfam family "Bacterial small subunit ribosomal RNA", at positions 1 to 683 of the family's 1533-position model. The record is from RNAcentral. Lineage: Bacteria; Pseudomonadati; Bacteroidota.